Molecule: non-coding RNA, 401 nt
Organism: Macaca mulatta (Rhesus monkey)
Lineage: Eukaryota; Metazoa; Chordata; Mammalia; Primates; Cercopithecidae
Source: RefSeq, a predicted model, not a curated record
AGAUUCGCAGAUCUAUUUUGGGACCUAACAUGUGUGUGUACGUGUAUAUGCAUUUAUGUGCAUAUCUACAGAUUUGAAAUUAAGUUCAGGAUCUCCAAUGUGUAAGCAGUGAAAAGAAUCUAUGCAUCCAAGAAGUAUCCAGUUGCUGUGACCAAGUCUUCCUUUCCUCUCCAGAAGCAGACCAGCAGGCGAGGAGAUGAGGAAAGCAAGCAGACGGACUAGGACUAUGGAACAACGUGGCAGAGAAAGAGGGAAGAGGAGGGACAUCCGGUUGCCGAGAGGAGUUCAGCUGGGGUCAGAGAGGAGUCCGGAUGCUGGGCAGCCCGGCUCCAAAAAAAGAUCACCUUCCCUUCCAGCUCCCCAUCCAUCUCGCUGAAAGCCAUUUCCACCACUCAAUAAAA